Molecule: non-coding RNA, 73 nt
Organism: Ictalurus punctatus (channel catfish)
Lineage: Eukaryota; Metazoa; Chordata; Actinopteri; Siluriformes; Ictaluridae
Source: the annotation of a RefSeq genome assembly
GGCUUCAUAGCUCAGUGGAUAGAGUGCUGGUCUUGUAAACCAGGGGUUAUGAGUUCAAUCUUCACUGAAGCCU